AUGUCUUCCAGUGACUCCGACGAGGGCGCGUGGCCGACCGGCGUUUGGCCGCAGAGCCUCACCGUCGGCGACACGGAGGAUCUGGCCCGGUGGUGGCGCAGGAAGAACUUCGACAUCGUCCUCGGCGCGUUUAGGGAUGCGGCGGCCGGCCGCACCGUCGGGGACAUUACCGGCGAGGCCGGCACUUCCCGUGGUCGCCGCCGCCACGGCCCACCUCCAGCCGCCCCCACUGCCCCGGCACAGCAAGCGCCCCCUGACCCGGCGCUGGUCGAGAUCCCGCCGGUGCAAGCCGCCCUCGCGCAAGACAGAGACCCCGACGACACGCCAGGGCUACUUGCGGUGCUGGCCCAAUCGGCAGAGGAGGCGGCGGCGGCCACUCAUGAGGAACGAGAGCGGCUGGCGGCCAUAGCGGCGGUGCAGGAGCAGCAGGCGCGGGAAGACAACUGGUGGGAUUUCAGCGACGACGACAACGACGACGACGGUGGCGAAGACGGCGAAGGAGAGGCCGGCGGUAUGGCGCCGGUCGUCGACCUCACCGGCGCCAGCGACGACGAGUAGGCCGUACUGGUUCUUAUGGGUACAAUCUUAGCACCACAACCCACCAAGUUUGUUCCUUAUCGUUAUUACAAAAUGGUGGAGGACGUGAACGCUAUCAAGUCAUACAAUUGGAACGAUUUCACGUUGAGGGUGUGCAUGGAUGCUAUUAAAAAAUUGGUCGAAGAUCUUAAAAAAUUCAAGUGGCCUAUCGGGAACUUGGCUCUUCUUCAGUAUAUAUACUGGGAAAAAGUUGAGCCAAUUGGUGUGGAUACAUUUGAUCCUUUGUCUCGUGAAUACCCACUAAUGGUUAACUGGCCAGAAACGGAAGGGAAAAAGAGAGACGACUAUGACAACAUGCACGGGCGUGGCACCGGCAAUAUGGUAAUGGAAAAGUUGAACACGGAAGGUGUGCUGUACAAACCCAAUAAGAGGGACACCAAUGACGAAUUUGAUAAUGUAGGUGAAGGAGUUGGGAUGGAGAAUGGCCAGUACAAGUCAUCAAAAUAUUGGCCAGAUAUUGAUUCACCUACCGACAUGGAGCUAGUAACAUCUUUCACGCGUUUCAAUGAUACCGACGUGCCCGUUGAUGACACGGGUGCUCCGGCGACGACACCGGGUAAAGGUGACGCUACUGAUCCUUUCAUUAUAGACGAUAAUGGAAAGUCUCCAUGUUCGUCAUCAACUGUACGUACAAAAGAGUUUCCGUCUAUGUCCCGAACCCCGCAGAAUGCUGAUAUUUCUGGUGAGUCUAUGGGUGGUUUGUCACCAACAAAGUCUGAAGACAUGUCUGAGAGUUUCCCAGCAAAGAGCAACAUAGGUAAUGGUGAAGGCAGUCAGGACAAUGAAGAGGCAGCCAGAGUUUUUGUUGAGACUCUCGCAUCGACAAAGAAGCAUGCACACCGAACCGUGGUCGAUAUGCCGCCACCAGAUGGGGACAUAUGCACGCCAGCUAUGCUUCACGAUGUCCUGAAGUUUAAAUGGUUGAAUGGCGCUGCGUAUUUUCCUAUGCACGUUAAUGAUAAUCAUUGGAUAACCAUAGUGAUGCACACCAUCAAGGAGGAGUUUCAAGUUCUUGACUCAAAUUCUAAAGGCGCAAUUAGACAAAGAAUUCGCAAUAUGAUUGCCACCCUGAGGGCUGAAAUUUCUAAGGAUAUUAGGGAGGCCAACUCUAUUCUUGAAUAA
RNAcentral lists this ribosomal RNA (1719 nucleotides) under Triticum aestivum (bread wheat). RNAcentral describes it as "partial small subunit ribosomal RNA". Lineage: Eukaryota; Viridiplantae; Streptophyta; Magnoliopsida; Poales; Poaceae. The record is from RNAcentral.